RNAcentral lists this ribosomal RNA (398 nucleotides) under uncultured bacterium. RNAcentral describes it as "partial 16S ribosomal RNA". It matches the Rfam family "Bacterial small subunit ribosomal RNA", at positions 523 to 918 of the family's 1533-position model. The record is from RNAcentral.
AUACGUAGGGUGCGAGCGUUGUCCGGAAUUACUGGGCGUAAAGAGCUCGUAGGUGGUUUGUCGCGUCGUCUGUGAAAUUCCGGGGCUUAACUCCGGGCGUGCAGGCGAUACGGGCAUAACUUGAGUACUGUAGGGGAGACUGGAAUUCCUGGUGUAGCGGUGAAAUGCGCAGAUAUCAGGAGGAACACCGGUGGCGAAGGCGGGGCUUUGGGGCAUAAACGGACGUGGAGAGGCAAAAGAUGGGGAAGCGAACGGGUUAGGUUCCCUGGGAAGCCAUGGCGGAAAAGGGUGGCGGUAGGUGGAGGGGGUUUCCACGGCUUCUGGGCCCUAGCUAACGGAUUAAAGCGCCCGCCUGGGGAGUACGGCCGCAAGGCUAAAACUCAAAGGAAUUGACGGGG